AUUGAACGGGGGAGGGAGGGAGAACACAGGCAAGUCGAGCGGAUGAAGGGAGCUUGCUCCUGGAUUCAGCGGCGGACGGGUGAGUAAUGCCUAGGAAUCUGCCUGGUAGUGGGGGAUAACGUCCGGAAACGGGCGCUAAUACCGCAUACGUCCUGAGGGAGAAAGUGGGGGAUCUUCGGACCUCACGCUAUCAGAUGCGCCUAGGUCGGAUUAGCUAGUUGGUGGGGUAAAGGCCUACCAAGGCGACGAUCCGUAACUGGUCUGAGAGGAUGAUCAGUCACACUGGAACUGAGACACGGUCCCGACUCCUACGGGAGGCAGCAGUGGGGAAUAUUGGACAAUGGGCGAAAGCCUGAUCCAGCCAUGCCGCGUGUGUGAAGAAGGUCUUCGGAUUGUAAAGCACUUUCAGUUGGGAGGAAGGGCAGUAAGUUAAUACCUUGCUGUUUUGACGUUACCAACAGAAUAAGCACCGGCUAACUUCGUG
This 484-nucleotide ribosomal RNA is filed under the name uncultured bacterium. RNAcentral's name for it is "partial 16S ribosomal RNA". It matches the Rfam family "Bacterial small subunit ribosomal RNA", at positions 30 to 507 of the family's 1533-position model. The record is from RNAcentral.